UACGAAGGGGGCUAGCGUUGUUCGGAAUUACUGGGCGUAAAGCGCACGUAGGCGGACUGUUAAGUCGGGGGUGAAAUCCUGGGGCUCAACCUCAGAAUUGCCUCCGAUACUGGCAGUCUCGAGUCCGGAAGAGGAGAGUGGAAUUCCCGGUGUAGCGGUGAAAUGCGCAGAUAUCGGGAAGAACACCCGUGGCUAAGGCGGCUCUCUAGUACGGUACUGACGCUGAGACGCGAAAGCGUGGGGAGCGAACAGG
This 253-nucleotide ribosomal RNA is filed under the name uncultured bacterium. Its description in RNAcentral is "partial 16S ribosomal RNA". It matches the Rfam family "Bacterial small subunit ribosomal RNA", at positions 524 to 776 of the family's 1533-position model. The record is from RNAcentral.